UUGAAUUUUAAUGAAGAGUUUGGUUGUAGCUGGCCCAUUCAUUUGGGCAUGUGCACACCUUCCUCUUUCAUCCCACACACACACCUGUGAACCUGUGAGACAGAGAUGGGGAAUUUACUUGCUGCUUUUUGGAAUACAAAGGCAAUAGGUUAUUGGACCCCCCCUCUGUCUACUCAAUUAAUAUAAACUCAAUUUAUUUUAAAACGAAUGUAAUGGAUGUAACACAUCUCAUAC
RNAcentral lists this unclassified non-coding RNA (234 nucleotides) under soil metagenome. RNAcentral describes it as "partial internal transcribed spacer 1". The record is from RNAcentral.